GACGAACGCUGGCGGCGUGCUUAACACAUGCAAGUCGAACGGAAAGGCCCUGCUUUUGUGGGGUGCUCGAGUGGCGAACGGGUGAGUAACACGUGAGUAACCUGCCCUUGACUUUGGGAUAACUUCAGGAAACUGGGGCUAAUACCGGAUAGGAGCUCCUGCUGCAUGGUGGGGGUUGGAAAGUUUCGGCGGUUGGGGAUGGACUCGCGGCUUAUCAGCUUGUUGGUGGGGUAGUGGCUUACCAAGGCUUUGACGGGUAGCCGGCCUGAGAGGGUGACCGGCCACCUGGGGACUGAGAUACGGCCCAGACUCCUACGGGAGGCAGCAGUGGAGAAUAUUGCACAAUGGGCGGAAGCCUGAUGCGGCCACGCCGCGUGCGGGAUGACGGCCUUCGGGUUGUGAACCGCUGUCGCCUGUGACGAAGCGUGAGUGACGGUAAUGGGUAAAGAAGCACCGGCUAACUACGUG
Molecule: ribosomal RNA, 468 nt
Filed under: uncultured bacterium
Lineage: Bacteria
Description: partial 16S ribosomal RNA
Rfam family: Bacterial small subunit ribosomal RNA
Source: RNAcentral